RNAcentral lists this long non-coding RNA (267 nucleotides) under Lathyrus oleraceus (garden pea). Its description in RNAcentral is "Pisum sativum (pea) long non-coding RNA (PSAT_LNC014312)". Lineage: Eukaryota; Viridiplantae; Streptophyta; Magnoliopsida; Fabales; Fabaceae. The record is from RNAcentral.
CAUUCUGUUCGCCUAGCGAGCAUGACAGCUCAGGAACAAAUUUUUGCUCCUUCAAGAUUAGCGUUCUGAAUGAUGAAUAAACCCAUUUGAACCCGUUGGAAGUAACUCAAGUCUUUCCCUUGUGUUGACUGAUCACCCGGAUAGGACCCACAAAGUGUCUUGGAUGAUGUUCAAGCUUCUUGGAUCUGAUUCUGAUUGACAUGAUGAAAUGCAAUGUUAUGUUAAAUGACCUAAAAAUGAAUGCAUGAAUGAGGAGGGCAAAUUUUG